Molecule: ribosomal RNA, 496 nt
Filed under: uncultured bacterium
Lineage: Bacteria
Description: partial 16S ribosomal RNA
Rfam family: Bacterial small subunit ribosomal RNA
Source: RNAcentral
AUGAACGCUGGCGGCGUGCCUAAUACAUGCAAGUCGAGCGAACGGACGAGAAGCUUGCUUCUCUGAUGUUAGCGGCGGACGGGUGGGUAACACGUGGAUAACCUACCUAUAAGACUGGGAUAACUUCGGGAAACCGGAGCUAAUACCGGAUAAUAUUUUGAACCGCAUGGUUCAAAAGUGAAAGACGGUCUUGCUGUCACUUAUAGAUGGAUCCGCGCUGCAUUAGCUAGUUGGUAAGGUAACGGCUUACCAAGGCAACGAUGCAUAGCCGACCUGAGAGGGUGAUCGGCCACACUGGAACUGAGACACGGUCCAGACUCCUACGGGAGGCAGCAGUAGGGAAUCUUCCGCAAUGGGCGAAAGCCUGACGGAGCAACGCCGCGUGAGUGAUGAAGGUCUUCGGAUCGUAAAACUCUGUUAUUAGGGAAGAACAUAUGUGUAAGUAACUGUGCACAUCUUGACGGUACCUAAUCAGAAAGCCACGGCUAACUACGUG